AGAGUUUGAUCAUGGCUCAGAUUGAACGCUGGCGGCAGGCCUAACACAUGCAAGUCGAGCGGAAACGAGUUAUCUGAACCUUCGGGGAACGAUAACGGCGUCGAGCGGCGGACGGGUGAGUAAUGCCUAGGAAAUUGCCUUGAUGUGGGGGAUAACCAUUGGAAACGAUGGCUAAUACCGCAUAACGCCUACGGGCCAAAGAGGGGGACCUUCGGGCCUCUCGCGUCAAGAUAUGCCUAGGUGGGAUUAGCUAGUUGGUGAGGUAAUGGCUCACCAAGGCGACGAUCCCUAGCUGGUCUGAGAGGAUGAUCAGCCACACUGGAACUGAGACACGGUCCAGACUCCUACGGGAGGCAGCAGUGGGGAAUAUUGCACAAUGGGCGAAAGCCUGAUGCAGCCAUGCCGCGUGUAUGAAGAAGGCCUUCGGGUUGUAAAGUACUUUCAGUUGUGAGGAAGGAGGUGUCGUUAAUAGCGGCAUCUCUUGACGUUAGCAACAGAAGAAGCACCGGCUAACUCCGUGCCAGCAGCCGCGGUAAUACGGAGGGUGCGAGCGUUAAUCGGAAUUACUGGGCGUAAAGCGCAUGCAGGUGGUUCAUUAAGUCAGAUGUGAAAGCCCGGGGCUCAACCUCGGAACUGCAUUUGAAACUGGUGAACUAGAGUACUGUAGAGGGGGGUAGAAUUUCAGGUGUAGCGGUGAAAUGCGUAGAGAUCUGA
This 714-nucleotide ribosomal RNA is filed under the name uncultured marine microorganism. RNAcentral's name for it is "bacterial SSU rRNA". It matches the Rfam family "Bacterial small subunit ribosomal RNA", at positions 8 to 701 of the family's 1533-position model. The record is from RNAcentral.